Molecule: non-coding RNA, 1753 nt
Organism: Mus caroli (Ryukyu mouse)
Lineage: Eukaryota; Metazoa; Chordata; Mammalia; Rodentia; Muridae
Source: RefSeq, a predicted model, not a curated record
GAGGUCAGAGAGCUUAGAGGUGGUAGGCACAGAUAGAUAAAAACUGGCACACAAGACCCAGAGUUCAGAUGAGUUAAUAAUGUCUCCUUUUUAUUGUUGUGGAAUUGCUAUUGUUCAGGUUUUGUUUGCUUGUGUGUUGAAACAGGGGCUUACUAUAGAGUUCUGGCUUGUCUAGAACUCAUGACAUAGACCACACUGGCUUGACUUUCAUGUGGUCUUCUUCCUCUGCCUCUGGAGUACAGGGAUUACAGGCUGAGAAUCUACCAUGGCGAGGACAGCUGGCAGCAGGUCAGAAGAGGACUGAGAGAUCAUAGAGAAAGAAAACCACAAUUAGGCCAGACUACCGACCCUCAAAACCUGCCCCAAGCGAUGUGCUGCCAGCAAGACUCCACCUCCUGAAGCUUCCAGAACCUCCCGUAGCAGCACCAUCAACAGGAGACCAAGGGUCAAGCCCUACAGCCCAGGUCCUAAUGGCUCAAGCAUCCUUCUGUAUGCUGUGUCAUCUCCAUCCACCAAGUAGCACUCCGUCAAGGGCCAGCAGCUAGCCCCUGCUUCAGAAGCUGCAAAAAAGGGUGAGCUCUAUGAACCACAAUCACAAAGGAAAUCAUUUAAUGACCUCAGAGCUAUGGUACAGAUAAACGAAGUUGUAAGAAAAUCAACCCUAAAGAGUACUCCAGACAGCCAACACCUGGAAAAGGAGAGGUUUAAAGUCACCUAAUUUAUCAGCAGCAAUAGCGGUACUUCGGAUGGCCAGGGCAGCCCUUUUCCUCCAGCCCACAGAGCACGGGUUCUGAGGAAUUCUGAGAGCAAUGGUACACCUUCAUGCCUGUGUUGUGCUGACAGAGUACCUCAGAGCCCCGGCUGGAGCGGCAACUAUUGGAAGGUCACUGAGACAGAACAAUUGAGGAAAGACUGUGUGCCAGCGUCUGUCUGCAUCUGUCUGGGAAGUACUGGGUUCUGGAGGUGGAGGGGGACAUGGAAGAGAGUGCAGAGUCUGUGUGGGGGGACAGGCAGGAGGUAGGAGUUCCCAAGAGCAGUCACUACCACAAAAGAGGGAAGCCAGGAAGAGGUUGUAGAAACUGGGUCUCCUGAGUUAUCCUGUCCUCCUGAGGAGAUUUUUGUUUCUGAGAGACGAGGUCCCACCAUGUCACCUACAGCAGCCUUGAAAGCUGUGACUUCUGUCAUCAAAAAAGAGAGUUUAAAAUCACAGUGAGAGGAAAAGCAGAAUCCCUUAGGACAGAGAGAAUGAGAUUAAGAGAUUCUCUGACCAGACAAAUGUGAGGGAAGGAGCCUUUGAGCCCUAAAGGAAGGAGGAUGCGGGGGAAGGGGACAGGAUAGGAGUUGAGGGCAGGAUGGUGGAUUUGCUAACAUGAGAUGAGGCAGCAUGCAGAGGCCCAGGCUGUGUGCCGUGCCUGUAGCACUGACUUGAUUAAGCACCUCCUACCUACCAGGUACUGGGCCAAGUGCCUGAGAUGCAUGCUAUGUUAACCCCCACAGGACCCUUCUAGGCAAUCAGUCAUUGCCUCUGUUUUACAGGUGGAGGCACAGAGAGGAAAGAUGCAUUAGUGGCAGAGUUUGUACAAGCAAAGCUGAGCUGGGUGUGGUGCUGUCUGCCUGCACUCUUAGUACUUUGGAAGCUGAAGCAGGAGAGUCACAGGUUCAAGACCGGACUGAACUUCACAGCGAGACCUCGUCUCAUAAACAAACAAACAAAUGGCAAAGUUAGGAUUUGAACGUGGCUUGUCUGCACUCU